This 2424-nucleotide ribosomal RNA is filed under the name Triticum aestivum (bread wheat). Its description in RNAcentral is "partial small subunit ribosomal RNA". The record is from RNAcentral. Lineage: Eukaryota; Viridiplantae; Streptophyta; Magnoliopsida; Poales; Poaceae.
AUGCAUACAUACAUGAUGAAAAUGGCAAGCAUAAAUGGAAGCAGUAGCUUCGGCCAUACAACUCGCCGAACCCCAAGAAAAAUGGACACAUUCCUCUUCCUUAUCAUUCUUCCAUUGCUCACCACUCUGCCAUGCUCAUAUGCUCAGUCGAUGCUAAGCACUGGCUCAUCCUUAUUUGUAGAAGAGCAUAGGCAGACCUUCCUUACCUCACCAAAUGAUGAUUUCUCUUGCGGCUUCUAUGAAGUUGGAGAGAAUGCAUUCUCCUUCUCUAUCUGGUUCACCACCACCAUGGAAAAGACUGUUGUAUGGUCUGCAAACCCCAGGUCCUUGGUGAAUGGCCAUGGUUCCAUGGUGUCCCUGAACCAUAAUGGAAACUUGGUCCUCACUGAUGUCAAUGGCACAGUCACUUGGGAGAGCAAGACAAGCUCUGGGGAGGGCACGGUGGUUUCCCUUCUUGACACUGGCAACCUCAUAAUCAAAGACUCCACUGGUGCAAAUUUGUGGGAAAGCUUCUCUUCACCGACAGAUACAUUGCUGCCUUUACAGACUCUCAAAAAAGGUACAAGGCUGGUCUCCAGUUAUUACAGCCUUUAUUUCGACAACGACAAUGUGCUACGCCUCAUGUAUGAUAGUCCAGAAAUAUCAAGUAUCUAUUGGCCAAGUGCAGACUACACAGUGCCUCAAAGUGGGCGGACUAGCUACAACAGCUCUAGGAUUGCAGUCCUCGACACUGAAGGAUUUUUCCUCUCAAGUGAUGGGCUGAAUGUCAAGGCUUCUGAUUGGGGUAAUGGCGUCAAGAGAAGGCUGACAAUUGGUUCUGAUGGAAACCUCAGAAUGUACAGUCUGAAUGUGUUAAAUGGGAGUUGGAUAAUAUCAUGGCAGGCUAUAGCAAAACUGUGCGAUGUGCAUGGGCUAUGUGGAAAAAAUGGGAUAUGUGAGUUCUUGCCAAGUUUCAGGUGUUCAUGUCCCCCAGGAUAUGAGAUGACCGAUCCGCAAAACUGGAACAAAGGUUGCAAGCCACAAUUCAGUAAAAGCUGCAGCAAAGCAGAAGAGUUUGACUUCAUCAAGCUCCCUCAAACCGACUUUUAUGGCUUUGAUCUGACCAAUAAUGUGUCCUCACUUGAAGAAUGUAAAAAGAUGUGCUUGAACAUUUGCUCCUGCUCAGCUCUCACGUACAAGGCGGGAUAUGGACUUUGCUACACCAAAGCUGUACUCUUCAAUGGUUACAGCUCCCCAAAUUUUCCUGGCGAUAACUAUAUCAAACUACCCAAGAAUAUGAGCAUCUCCAGACAAUCUCGUCUCACAUGCAAUCCGGAUAUUCCAGUGCAUGUACAAGGAUCUGCAAGUAUGUAUGGAAUGAAUGAUGUCACCAAGAGUUAUACAAUUUAUUAUGUGUUUGCAACAAUAUUGGGAGCCCUAGUCUUGCUCUUUAUCGGUACAAGCUGGUCGUUUCUUUACAGCAAGCAAAACAUACCUAAGUCAAUGGAAGAAGGCUAUAGGACUGUGAUGAGCCAGUUCAGGAUGUUCAUCUAUAGGGAAUUACGGGAAGCGACUGGAAAGUUCAAGGAAGAGAUUGGAAGAGGGGGUUCUGGAAUUGUUUAUAGAGGGGUACUUGAAGAUAAGAGAGUGGUGGCAGUGAAGAAACUAACCAGCGUUUCACAUAGCGAGGAGGAAUUCUGGGCAGAAAUGAAUAUAAUCGGAAGGAUCAACCAUAUGAAUUUAGUAAGGAUGUGGGGGUUUUGCUCCGAGGGACAACACAAACUGCUGGUGUACGAGUACGUGGAGAAUGAGUCCCUUGAUAAGUUUAUAUUUGGUAAUGUAAGUACUGAGAGAUUACUUGCAUGGAGCCAACGAUUCAAAAUAGCACUAGGAACAGCAAGAGGCUUGGCGUACCUCCAUCAUGAGUGCCUUGAGUGGGUGAUCCAUUGUGAUAUAAAGCCAGAGAACAUACUCCUGACCCGAGACUUCGAAGCAAAGAUAGCAGACUUCGGACUAGCCAAACUCUCAAAGAGAGACAGUUCCAGUUUCAAUCUCACCCACAUGAGAGGAACAAUGGGCUACAUGGCGCCAGAGUGGGCACUGAAUUUGUCGAUCGACGCAAAGGUUGAUGUAUACAGUUGUGGCGUUGUACUUCUCGAGAUUGUGACUGGAAAUAGGAUCUCAAGUGGGAUUACAGUGGAUGGGAAAGAGGUGGAGUUUAGACAGUUUGUGCAUGCAGUUAAAGAAUUGCUGGAGAGUGGAGAUGUCAAGGUUAUAGCUGAUGCUAGACUGAAUGGCCAUUUCAAUCCUGAGCAAGUGCCGGUAAUGGUGAAAUUGGCUUUAUCUUGUCUCGAAGAAAGAAACAGCAGACCUACAAUGAAUGAAAUUGUAAAAGCUCUACUGACAUGUGAUGACGAAGACAAUCACCCAGCCUACUCAUGGUGA